GAUGAAGAACGCAGCGAAAUGCGAUACGUAAUGUGAAUUGCAAAUUCAGUGAAUCAUCGAGUCUUUGAACGCACAUUGCGCCCCCCGGUAUUCCGGCGGGCAUGCCUGUUCGAGCGUCGUUUGCAAACCAUCAAGCGGAAAUUUCCACGUCGGCUUGGUCUUGGGCCUCCGCCCCCCGGCACGCGCCGGCGGGGCGGGCCCCGAAGUCAGCGGCGGCCCGCGACGACCGCCGGAGCGUCCUCGAAUCGAACCGCUCCGGCGCGGCGCCCCGGGCCCGCCGGCAAACCAGCAACGCGCUACCCAAAAAUCCGACCUCGGAUCAGGUAGGGAUACCCGCUGAACUUAAGCAUAUCAAUAAGCGGAGGA
RNAcentral lists this unclassified non-coding RNA (366 nucleotides) under soil metagenome. RNAcentral's name for it is "partial contains 5.8S ribosomal RNA, internal transcribed spacer 2, and large subunit ribosomal RNA". The stretch from base 1 to 119 matches the Rfam family "5.8S ribosomal RNA", at positions 35 to 154 of the family's 154-position model. The record is from RNAcentral.